AGCUCAGCUGGUAGAGCGGCGCCCUUACAAGGCGUAGGUCGGCGGUUCGAACCCGUCA
RNAcentral lists this transfer RNA (58 nucleotides) under Burkholderiaceae bacterium. Its description in RNAcentral is "tRNA-Val". It matches the Rfam family "tRNA", at positions 9 to 63 of the family's 71-position model. Rfam says of the family: Transfer RNA (tRNA) molecules are approximately 80 nucleotides in length. Their secondary structure includes four short double-helical elements and three loops (D, anti-codon, and T loops). Lineage: Bacteria; Pseudomonadati; Pseudomonadota; Betaproteobacteria; Burkholderiales; Burkholderiaceae. The record is from RNAcentral.